This 273-nucleotide ribosomal RNA is filed under the name uncultured bacterium. Its description in RNAcentral is "partial 16S ribosomal RNA". It matches the Rfam family "Bacterial small subunit ribosomal RNA", at positions 524 to 796 of the family's 1533-position model. The record is from RNAcentral.
GACGAACCGUCCUAACGUUGUUCGGAUUCACUGGGCUUAAAGGGCGCGUAGGCGGGUGAGCAAGUCCGGGGUGAAAUCUUUCGGCUUAACCGGAAAACAGCCUUGGAUACUGCUCGUCUAGAGGGAGGUAGGGGUCUGCGGAACUUCCGGUGGAGCGGUGAAAUGCGUUGAUAUCGGAAGGAACGCCGGUGGCGAAAGCGGCGGACUGGACCUCUUCUGACGCUGAGGCGCGAAAGCCAGGGGAGCAAACGGGAUUAGAUACCCCAGUAGUCC